UACGUAGGGGGCAAGCGUUGUCCGGAUUUAUUGGGCGUAAAGAGCUCGUAGGUGGUUUGGUUAGUCGGAUGUGAAAUCUCCAGGCUCAACCUGGAGGGGUCAUUCGAUACUGCCAUGACUAGAGGUCGGUAGGGGAGUGUGGAAUUCCUGGUGGAGCGGUGAAAUGCGCAGAUAUCAGGAAGAACACCCGUGGCGAAGGCGGCUCUCUGGGACGGUACUGACGCUGAGACGCGAAAGCGUGGGGAGCGAACAGG
Molecule: ribosomal RNA, 254 nt
Filed under: uncultured bacterium
Lineage: Bacteria
Description: partial 16S ribosomal RNA
Rfam family: Bacterial small subunit ribosomal RNA
Source: RNAcentral